RNAcentral lists this ribosomal RNA (301 nucleotides) under uncultured bacterium. Its description in RNAcentral is "partial 16S ribosomal RNA". It matches the Rfam family "Bacterial small subunit ribosomal RNA", at positions 509 to 807 of the family's 1533-position model. The record is from RNAcentral.
CAGUAGCCACGGUAAUACGUAGGUGGCAAGCGUUGUCCGGAAUUAUUGGGCGUAAAGGGCUCGCAGGCGGUUUCUUAAGUCUGAUGUGAAAGCCCCCGGCCCAACCGGGGAGGGUCAUUGGAAACUGGGAAACUUGAGUGCAGAAGAGGAGAGUGGAAUUCCACGUGUAGCGGUGAAAUGCGUAGAGAUGUGGAGGAACACCAGUGGCGAAGGCGACUCUCUGGUCUGUAACUGACGCUGAGGAGCGAAAGCGUGGGGAGCGAACAGGAUUAGAUACCCCCGUAGUCCCUGUCUCUUAUAC